UAUGCUUUAGUAUAUGAUGUACAGGAGAUUUUGAUUUUUCAGGAAGUAGUUUGACUCUAUUAAGUAUAA
RNAcentral lists this transfer RNA (69 nucleotides) under Meliboeus sinae. RNAcentral's name for it is "tRNA-Gln". Lineage: Eukaryota; Metazoa; Arthropoda; Insecta; Coleoptera; Buprestidae. The record is from RNAcentral.